UAAAGGGUAGCGUAGGCGGCCUGUUAAGUCAGGGGUGAAGACGGUAGCUCAACUAUCGCAGUGCCCUUGAUACUGAUGGGCUUGAAUUGACUAGAGGUAGGCGGAAUGUGACAAGUAGCGGUGAAAUGCAUAGAUAUGUCACAGAACACCGAUUGCGAAGGCAGCUUACUAUGGUCUUAUUGACGCUGAGGCACGAAAGCGUGGGGAUCAAACAGGAUUAGAUACCCUGU
RNAcentral lists this ribosomal RNA (230 nucleotides) under uncultured bacterium. Its description in RNAcentral is "partial 16S ribosomal RNA". It matches the Rfam family "Bacterial small subunit ribosomal RNA", at positions 561 to 790 of the family's 1533-position model. The record is from RNAcentral.